UCCUUCCAUCUUCUUCCUUCCCCCCACCGCAUUGCUCCUUCCUCCAGUCCAUAACCAGUGAAGUGAACACUUGAUAAGAAAAUUACCCAAUUCAAUACUCCACAUCAAUGGUCCAUCACUAUGAUUAACACCACCCAAAUCAUGAAAAAGGACAACAACAAAAACUAAAUAAAAUUAACAUAUUUAAGAUCUAACACCUAAUCGACAUUCAUACUUUCAUUGUAGCAAAUCAAACGAGCAAAGACAACUGGUUUGGAUCGAUCGAGAAGCAGAGCAAAGUGAAGACAACGGAAACACACACGUCACAACAACUCUGUUCAAUCUCUUCUCCAAUAACAACUGUAACAAGAAGUACUAUAACUCAUUCUCCUUACAACAUCUUGUUCCUUAUUAACAACAUGUCGAAACCAGCACAACCCAUUCUCCAUUAAAUUGAAGCUUAUAAUUUUACCUCUGGAUUUGUUGUGUUUCUUAACAAUUGUUGAGAAAGAUGAAUGUUUUGGGAUAAACAUGUCAGAAUUCACAAAAGAAUUAUAAUAGGUUUGUGGUGAAGAAAAGAUUAAUUAGUUUCAGAUCUCACGACAUAGAUGGAAGCACGAUAGAGAAGAAAUGAAGUUGUUUGAAAUUUAUUUUAUUUUAGAAAAACUCAUGUCACUGGUUGCAAAAAAAAAAA
This 673-nucleotide long non-coding RNA is filed under the name Trifolium pratense (red clover). RNAcentral describes it as "long non-coding RNA (TPRA_LNC005625)". The record is from RNAcentral. Lineage: Eukaryota; Viridiplantae; Streptophyta; Magnoliopsida; Fabales; Fabaceae.